This 279-nucleotide long non-coding RNA is filed under the name Arabidopsis lyrata. RNAcentral describes it as "long non-coding RNA (ALYR_LNC002122)". The record is from RNAcentral. Lineage: Eukaryota; Viridiplantae; Streptophyta; Magnoliopsida; Brassicales; Brassicaceae.
GCAGCAUUGAUGAGUUCAUCAGCAAGGCACUCAGCGAUUGUCUUGAUGUUUCUAAAGGCAGCUUCACGUGCACCAGUGGUGAGUAAGAAGAUUGCUUGGUUCACACGUCUUAGAGGAGAGAUAUCAACGGCCUGCCUCCUAACCACACCAGCAGAUCCAAUUCUAGUAGCAUCUUCACGAGGACCACUAAUUCACACAAAAAACAAACCCUCUUAAUUAGAUUCAGUUCAUAGUAGCACACAAGAAAGAUACGGGUUUCAGUAUCGCAAUCUCAAUUCA